UACAGAGGGUGCAAGCGUUAAUCGGAAUUACUGGGCGUAAAGCGUGCGUAGACGGUAGCGUAAGUCGGGUGUGAAAGCCCCGGGCUCAACCCUGGGAAUUGCAUUCGAGACUGCUCUGCUAGGGUGCGGAAGAGGGAAGCGGAAUUUCCGGUGUAGCGGUGAAAUGCGUAGAUAUCGGAAGGAACACCAGUGGCGAAAGCGGCUUCCUGGUCCAGCACCGACGUUCAGGCACGAAAGCGUGGGGAGCAAACAGGG
Molecule: ribosomal RNA, 255 nt
Filed under: uncultured bacterium
Lineage: Bacteria
Description: partial 16S ribosomal RNA
Rfam family: Bacterial small subunit ribosomal RNA
Source: RNAcentral